Long non-coding RNA from Ahaetulla prasina, 729 nucleotides. RefSeq lists it as uncharacterized. The record is from RefSeq and is a predicted model, not a curated record. Lineage: Eukaryota; Metazoa; Chordata; Lepidosauria; Squamata; Colubridae. The transcript has 3 exons.
GGGGGGAAAACAAUGGAUGGUCUUGCUUGGUGUCAGUGAUGAGGAAAGUGGCAGCUACUGAAUUUCUGAGCUGUAACUGACGUUAGAAGAUUGCUGAAGGAAACAAACAGACAAACAAACAACCCUGCCAUCUUUUUGUAUUGUGAUUAUGGAUAUGCAUUCGUCUUCUUGACUGCACGAAUCAAGAAGAGGGCCGUGAAAAUAUUUGCAGAUCCCUCGCAUCCUGGACAUAAACUGUUUCAACUCCUACCCUCAAAACGACGCUAUAGAGCACUGCACACCAGAACAACUAGACACAAGAACAGUUUUUUCCCGAAGGCCAUCACUCUGCUAAACAAAUAAUUCCCUCAACACUGUCAGACUAUUUACUGAAUCUGCACUACUAUUAAUCGUUUCAUAGUUCCCAUCACCAAUCUCUUUCCACUUAUGACUGUAUGACUAUAACUUGUUGCUGGCAAUCCUUAUGAUUUAUAUUGAUAUAUUGAUCAUCAAUUGUGUUGUAAAUGUUGUACCUUGAUGAACGUAUCUUUUCUUUUAUGUACACUGAGAGCAUAUGCACCAAGACAAAUUCCUUGUGUGUCCAAUCACACUUGGCCAAUAAAAUUCUAUUCUAUUCUAUUCUAUUCUAUAAAUUAACCUGGAUAUGUCUGAAAUAUUCAAUUCUCUAGAAUCCUCAUAACAUUAAAAAAAUUGGUAUGUUUCAUGUACGUUUUAUCAGGGAAUGCUUGC